This 264-nucleotide ribosomal RNA is filed under the name uncultured archaeon. Its description in RNAcentral is "partial 16S ribosomal RNA". It matches the Rfam family "Archaeal small subunit ribosomal RNA", at positions 748 to 1008 of the family's 1478-position model. The record is from RNAcentral.
AGGGUGUAAACGCUGCAGACUUGGUGUUGGGAACCCUUCGGGGUGGCUCAGUGCCGGAGAGAAGUUGUUAAGUCUGCUACUUGGGGAGUACGUCCGCAAGGAUGAACUUAAAGGAAUUGGCGGGGGGAGGCACCGCAACGGGAGGAGCGUGCGGUUUAAUUGGAUUCAACACCGUAAAACUACACCAGGGAAGACUGUUACAUGAAAGCCGAGAUGAAGACUCUGCUAGAUUUUCUAGAGAGGUGGUGCAUGGCGUCAGUGACU